Melopsittacus undulatus (budgerigar) is the source of this 1612-nucleotide RNA transcript. It is a transcript of the gene named ZPR1 zinc finger, with no coding region annotated. The transcript is spliced from 15 exons. The record is from RefSeq and is a predicted model, not a curated record. Lineage: Eukaryota; Metazoa; Chordata; Aves; Psittaciformes; Psittaculidae.
ACGGCGGGGCAGCAUGUCGGCGCUGGGCGCGGUGGAGGCGGCGGGCACCGGGUCCGUGUUCCGGGCGCUGAGCGCCGAGGACGGAGAGCAGCGUCCGGCGGAGAUCGAGUCCCUGUGCAUGAAGUGCUUCUGCAGCGGGGUGACGCGGCUGCUGCUCACCCGGAUCCCGUUCUUCAGAGAGGUCAUCGUGAGCUCCUUCACCUGCGGGAGCUGCUCCUGGGCCAACACCGAGAUCCAGGCCGCGGGGCGCAUCCAGGAGCGGGGCGUGCGCUACAGCCUCACCGUCAGCUCCCGGCAGGACAUGGACAGGCAGGUGGUGAAGACCGACUGUGCCACAGCUCGGAUCCCAGAGCUGGACUUUGAGAUCCCGGCUUUCUCCCAGAAGGGAGUGCUUACCACCAUUGAAGGGCUCAUUGACAGAGCUGUGGCCGGCCUGGAGCAGGACCAGCCUGUCCGCAGGGCAACAGACCAGGAGGUGGCCAGUAAAAUAGAUGAGUUCAUUGGGAAGCUAAAGCAGCUGAAAGAAGUUCAUUCCCCCUUCACCUUUAUCAUCGAUGACCCUUCAGGGAACAGCUUUGUGGAGAACCCUCGUGCGCCGCAGAAGGAUGAUGCUCUGGUGGUCACUCACUACAGGAGGAGUCCCCAGCAGGCUGCCAUGCUGGGGCUGCAGGGAGAGGAGCUGGAUGAGAGGCCUGAUGAUGAUGCUGCAGAGGACCUGAGGAAUGAGGUCCUGCAGUUCAACACCAACUGCCCCGAGUGCAACGCUCCAGCCAGCACAAAUAUGAAGUUAGUGCAGAUCCCACACUUCAAGGAGGUGAUCAUCAUGGCCACAAACUGUGACUCCUGUGGGCACAGGACGAAUGAGGUGAAGUCUGGAGGAGCCAUCGAGCCGCAGGGCACCAGGAUUACCCUGCGGAUCACAGACCCCUCUGACAUGACAAGGGACAUCCUCAAGUCAGAGACGUGCAGUGUGGAGAUCCCGGAGCUGGAGUUCGAGCUGGGCAUGGGAGCACUGGGGGGGAAGUUCACCACCCUGGAGGGGCUGCUGAAGGACAUCCGGGACCUGGUGGAGAGGAACCCCUUCAGCCUGGGGGACAGCUCUACACCCAGCAGGACCGGGAAGCUGCAGGAGUUCAUUGGGAAGCUGCAGGAGAUCAUAGAGGGAAAGGCAAAGGCUCACCUCAUCCUGGAUGACCCUGCAGGCAACAGCUACCUUCAGAAUGUGUACGCGCCGGAGGAGGACCCGGAGCUCCGAGUGGAGCGCUACGAGCGGAGCUUUGAGCAGAACGAAGACCUGGGCCUCAAUGACAUGAAGACAGAGGGCUACGAGGCAGAGGAAGCCUCGGGCCGGUAGCUGGACCCCUUCAGCCUCGAUGGAAUGGGACUUUCUGGGGCGGAGCCCCUCUCCCGGCCUGGGACACCCAUUAUCCCAGCCCAGGACACCUGUUAUCCCAGCACAGGACACCCGUUAUCCCAGCCCAGGACACCCGUUAUCCCAGCCCGGACACCGUUAUCCCACCCGGACACCGUUAUCCCAGUCCGGGGUCGCUGCUGGAUGUGCUCAUGGACCCGGUGGGGUCCUGGGGGCCCGCAAAUAAAGCCGCGUGUUGAA